ACGUAGGGGGCAAGCGUUGUCCGGAAUUACUGGGUGUAAAGGGAGCGCAGGCGGAGAAGCAAGUCAGUGGUGAAAACGAUGGGCUUAACCCAUCGACUGCCAUUGAAACUGUUUCCCUUGAGUGAAGUAGAGGCAGGCGGAAUUCCGAGUGUAGCGGUGAAAUGCGUAGAUAUUCGGAGGAACACCAGUGGCGAAGGCGGCCUGCUGGGCUUUAACUGACGCUGAGGCUCGAAAGUGUGGGGAGCAAACAG
This 251-nucleotide ribosomal RNA is filed under the name uncultured bacterium. RNAcentral describes it as "partial 16S ribosomal RNA". It matches the Rfam family "Bacterial small subunit ribosomal RNA", at positions 525 to 775 of the family's 1533-position model. The record is from RNAcentral.